RNAcentral lists this ribosomal RNA (465 nucleotides) under uncultured Lautropia sp. Its description in RNAcentral is "bacterial SSU rRNA". It matches the Rfam family "Bacterial small subunit ribosomal RNA", at positions 338 to 795 of the family's 1533-position model. The record is from RNAcentral. Lineage: Bacteria; Pseudomonadati; Pseudomonadota; Betaproteobacteria; Burkholderiales; Burkholderiaceae.
CCUACGGGAGGCAGCAGUGGGGAAUUUUGGACAAUGGGCGCAAGCCUGAUCCAGCAAUGCCGCGUGUGUGAUGAAGGCCUUCGGGUUGUAAAGCACUUUUGGCGGGAACGAAAAGGACUGUGCCAAUACCACGGUUCGAUGACGGUACCCGCAGAAUAAGCACCGGCUAACUACGUGCCAGCAGCCGCGGUAAUACGUAGGGUGCGAGCGUUAAUCGGAAUUACUGGGCGUAAAGAGUGCGCAGGCGGUUUUGCAAGACCGAUGUGAAAUCCCCGGGCUUAACCUGGGAACUGCAUUGGUGACUGCAAGGCUAGAGUGUGUCAGAGGGAGGUGGAACUCCGCAUGUAGCAGUGAAAUGCGUAGAUAUGCGGAAGAACACCGAUGGCGAAGGCAGCCUCCUGGGAUAACACUGACGCUCAUGCACGAAAGCGUGGGGAGCAAACAGGAUUAGAUACCCUGGUAGUC